This 496-nucleotide ribosomal RNA is filed under the name uncultured bacterium. RNAcentral's name for it is "partial 16S ribosomal RNA". It matches the Rfam family "Bacterial small subunit ribosomal RNA", at positions 28 to 506 of the family's 1533-position model. The record is from RNAcentral.
GAUGAACGCUGGCGGCGUGCCUAAUACAUGCAAGUCGAGCGAACAGAUGAGGAGCUUGCUCCUCUGACGUUAGCGGCGGACGGGUGAGUAACACGUGGAUAACCUACCUAUAAGACUGGGAUAACUUCGGGAAACCUGAGCUAAUACCGGAUAAUAUAUUGAACCGCAUGGUUCAAUAGUGAAAGACGGUUUUGCUGUCACUUAUAGAUGGAUCCGCGCCGCAUUAGCUAGUUGGUAAGGUAACGGCUUACCAAGGCAACGAUGCGUAGCCGACCUGAGAGGGUGAUCGGCCACACUGGAACUGAGACACGGUCCAGACUCCUACGGGAGGCAGCAGUAGGGAAUCUUCCGCAAUGGGCGAAAGCCUGACGGAGCAACGCCGCGUGAGUGAUGAAGGUCUUCGGAUCGUAAAACUCUGUUAUUAGGGAAGAACAAAUGUGUAAGUAACUAUGCACGUCUGGACGGUACCUAAUCAGAAAGCCACGGCUAACUACGU